AGAGUUUGAUCCUGGCUCAGGACGAACGCUGGCGGCGUGCUUAACACAUGCAAGUCACGGGGGCCCGCAAGGGUAACCGGCGAACGGGUGCGUAACACGUGAGCAAUCUGCCGUCCACUGGGGGAUAGCCGGCCCAACGGCCGGGUAAUACCGCAUACGCUUGCCGGGUGGCAUCACCUGGCAAGGAAACCUCCGGGGGUGGACGAGGAGCUCGCGGCCUAUCAGCUAGUUGGUGGGGUCACGGCCCACCAAGGCGAUGACGGGUAGCUGGUCUGAGAGGAUGGCCAGCCACAUUGGGACUGAGAUACGGCCCAGACUCCUACGGGAGGCAGCAGUGGGGAAUAUUGCGCAAUGGCCGCAAGGCUGACGCAGCGACGCCGCGUGGGGGAUGAAGCAUUUCGGUGUGUAAACCCCUGUUGCCCGGGACGAACCUCCCCUUUCGAGGGGACUGACGGUACCGGGUGAGGAAGCACCGGCUAACUCCGUGCCAGCAGCCGCGGUAAUACGGAGGGUGCGAGCGUUGUCCGGAAUCACUGGGCGUAAAGGGCGCGUAGGCGGUGACUUAAGCGUGUGGUGAAAGCCCGGGGCUCAACCCCGGGUCGGCCGUGCGAACUGGGUCACUCGAGCACUGUAGAGGCAGGUGGAAUUCCGGGUGUAGCGGUGGAAUGCGUAGAGAUCCGGAAGAACACCAGUGGCGAAGGCGGCCUGCUGGGCAGUAGCUGACGCUGAGGCGCGACAGCGUGGGGAGUAAACAGGAUUAGAUACCCUGGUAGUCC
Molecule: ribosomal RNA, 776 nt
Filed under: uncultured prokaryote
Description: bacterial SSU rRNA
Rfam family: Bacterial small subunit ribosomal RNA
Source: RNAcentral